AUUGAACGCUGGCGGCAGGCCUAACACAUGCAAGUCGGGCGAGAGGCGGACGGGUGAGUAAUGUAUGGGGAUCUGCGUGAUGGCGGGGGAGAAAUACGGGAAACGGUAGCUAAUACCGCUAACCAUCAGAUGAACCCAUAUGGGAUUAGCUUGUUGGUGAGGUAACGGCUCACCUAGGGGACGAUCCCUAGCUGGUCUGAGAGGAUGAUCAGCCACACUGGGACUGAGACACGGCCCAGACUCCUACGGGAGGCAGCAGUGGGGAAUAUUGCACAAUGGGCGCAAGCCUGACGCAGCCAUGCCGCGUGUAUGAAGAAGGUCUUCGGGUUGUAAAGUACUUUCAGUCGGGAGGCGUUACCGACAGAGGAAGCACCGGCUAACUCCGUGCCAGCCGCCGCGGUAAUAC
Molecule: ribosomal RNA, 406 nt
Filed under: uncultured bacterium
Lineage: Bacteria
Description: partial 16S ribosomal RNA
Rfam family: Bacterial small subunit ribosomal RNA
Source: RNAcentral